GAAGGGCGCUUGCGGCGUGCUUAACACAUGCAAGUCGAACGGAAAGGCCCUGCUUUUGUGGGGUGCUCGAGUGGCGAACGGAUGAGUAACACGUGAGUAACCUGCCCUUGACUUUGGGAUAACUUCAGGAAACUGGGGCUAAUACCGGAUAGGAGCUCCUGCUGCAUGGUGGGGGUUGGAAAGUUUCGGCGGAUGGGCAUGGACUCGCGGCUUAUCAGCUUGUUGGUGGGGUAGUGGCUUACCAAGGCUUUGACGGGUAGCCGGCCUGAGAGGGUGACCGGCCACAUUGGGACCUGAGAUACGGCCCAGACUCCUACGGGAGGCAGCAGUGGGGAAUAUUGCACAAUGGGCGGAAGCCUGAUGCAGCAACGCCGCGUGCGGGAUGACGGCCUUCGGGUUGUAAACCGCUUUCGCCUGUGACGAAGCGUGAGUGACGGUAAUGGGUAAAGAGGCACCGGAUAACUACGUGCCAGCAGCCGCGGUGAUACGUAGGGUGCGAGCGUUGUCCGGAUUUAUUGGGCGUAAAGGGCUCGUAGGUGGUUGAUCGCGUCGGAAGUGUAAUCUUGGGGCUUAACCCUGAGCGUGCUUUCGAUACGGGUUGACUUGAGGAAGGUAGGGGAGAAUGGAAUUCCUGGUGGAGCGGUGGAAUGCGCAGAUAUCAGGAGGAACACCAGUGGCGAAGGCGGUUCUCUGGGCCUUUCCUGACGCUGAGGAGCGAAAGCGUGGGGAGCGAACAGGCUUAGAUACCCUGGUAGUCCACGCUG
Molecule: ribosomal RNA, 764 nt
Filed under: uncultured organism
Description: SSU rRNA
Rfam family: Bacterial small subunit ribosomal RNA
Source: RNAcentral